RNAcentral lists this ribosomal RNA (465 nucleotides) under uncultured Glomus. RNAcentral's name for it is "SSU rRNA". It matches the Rfam family "Eukaryotic small subunit ribosomal RNA", at positions 569 to 1039 of the family's 1831-position model. The record is from RNAcentral. Lineage: Eukaryota; Fungi; Glomeromycota; Glomeromycetes; Glomerales; Glomeraceae.
AGCAGCCGCGGUAAUUCCAGCUCCAAUAGCGUAUAUUAAAGUUGUUGCAGUUAAAAAGCUCGUAGUUGAAUUUCGGGACCAAUUUGUUGGUCGUGCCUCGGUACGUACUGAUAUUAUUGGUUUCUCCCUUCUGAAGAACCAUGAUGCCAUUAAUUUGGUGUCGUGGGGAAUCAGGACUGUUACUUUGAAAAAAUUAGAGUGUUUAAAGCAGGCUUUCGCUUGAAUACAUUAGCAUGGAAUAAUGAAAUAGGACGUUUGAUUCUAUUUUGUUGGUUUCUAGGAUCGACGUAAUGAUUAAUAGGGAUAGUUGGGGGCAUUAGUAUUCAAUUGUCAGAGGUGAAAUUCUUGGAUUUAUUGAAGACUAACUACUGCGAAAGCAUUUGCCAAGGAUGUUUUCAUUAAUCAAGAACGAAAGUUAGGGGAUCGAAGACGAUCAGAUACCGUCGUAGUCUUAACCAUAAACUA